CAAGCAAGUCGUACGAGAGUUUUUAACUCAAGUGGCGGACGGGUGAGUAACACGUAAGAAUUUGCCUCUAGGAGGGGGACAACAACUGGAAACGGUUGCUAAUACCCCAUAUGCUUUCGAGUGAAAUGGAUUUUUCCGCCUAGAGAGAAGCUUGCGGCUGAUUAGCUUGUUGGUGAGGUAAUGGCUCACCAAGGCGACGAUCAGUAUCUGGUUUGAGAGGACGAUCAGACACACUGGAACUGAGACACGGUCCAGACUCCUACGGGAGGCAGCAGUGGGGAAUUUUCCGCAAUGGGCGAAAGCCUGACGGAGCAAUCUCGCGUGAGGGAUGACUGCCUAUGGGUUGUAAACCUCUUUUUUCAGGGAGGAAUAAAUGACGUGUACCUGAAGAAUAAGCAUCGGCUAACUCCGUGCCAGCAGCCGCGGUAAGACGGAGGAUGCAAGUGUUAUCCGGAAUCACUGGGCGUAAAGCGUCUGUAGGUGGUUUAAUAAGUCAACUGUUAAAUCUUGAAGCUCAACUUCAAAAUCGCAGUCGAAACUGUUAGACUAGAGUAUAGUAGGGGUAAAGGGAAUUUCCAGUGGAGCGGUGAAAUGCGUAGAGAUUGGAAAGAACACCGAUGGCGAAGGCACUUUACUGGGCUAUUACUGACACUCAGAGACGAAAGCUAGGGUAGCAAAUGGGAUUAGAUACCCCAGUAGUCCUAGCCGUAAACAAUGGAUACUAGAUGUUGAACAGAUCGACCUGUGCAGUAUCAAAGCUAACGCGUUAAGUAUC
This 775-nucleotide ribosomal RNA is filed under the name uncultured cyanobacterium. RNAcentral describes it as "bacterial SSU rRNA". It matches the Rfam family "Bacterial small subunit ribosomal RNA", at positions 54 to 868 of the family's 1533-position model. The record is from RNAcentral. Lineage: Bacteria; Bacillati; Cyanobacteriota.